This 202-nucleotide ribosomal RNA is filed under the name uncultured Streptococcus sp. RNAcentral describes it as "partial 16S ribosomal RNA". It matches the Rfam family "Bacterial small subunit ribosomal RNA", at positions 1181 to 1382 of the family's 1533-position model. Lineage: Bacteria; Bacillati; Bacillota; Bacilli; Lactobacillales; Streptococcaceae. The record is from RNAcentral.
GACGUACAAUCAUCAUGCCCCUUAUGACCUGGGCUACACACGUGCUACAAUGGUUGGUACAACGAGUUGCGAGUCGGUGACGGCGAGCUAAUCUCUUAAAGCCAAUCUCAGUUCGGAUUGUAGGCUGCAACUCGCCUACAUGAAGUCGGAAUCGCUAGUAAUCGCGGAUCAGCACGCCGCGGUGAAUACGUUCCCGGGCCUU